AGAGUCCUGAUGUGUUCGUUGUAUAACCUGAAGUUUUGACCGAACAUUGAGUACUUCGGGAAUCCGGAGUUCCCAGGCUGCGCAAACGCCCCUAUGGAUUGGGGACUUGCAGGAGUGUGGGACAGGAUGCCCACCUGCCGAGAGCGGGUUCAAAAUGAAGGCGCCAAAGCGACGGCACAAUUGGGACUCUU
Molecule: non-coding RNA, 191 nt
Filed under: Mesobacillus foraminis
Lineage: Bacteria; Bacillati; Bacillota; Bacilli; Caryophanales; Bacillaceae
Description: 6S RNA
Rfam family: 6S / SsrS RNA
About the family: E. coli 6S RNA was the first non coding RNA to be sequenced, but its function was unknown until recently. It consists of 184 nucleotides that fold into an extended hairpin structure with a large single-stranded internal bulge.
Source: RNAcentral